This 278-nucleotide ribosomal RNA is filed under the name uncultured bacterium. Its description in RNAcentral is "partial 16S ribosomal RNA". It matches the Rfam family "Bacterial small subunit ribosomal RNA", at positions 511 to 788 of the family's 1533-position model. The record is from RNAcentral.
GCAGCCGCGGUAAUACGUAGGUGGCAAGCGUUAUCCGGAUUUACUGGGUGUAAAGGGUGUGUAGGCGGGCUAGCAAGUCAGAUGUGAAACCUAUGGGCUCAACCCAUAGCCUGCAUUUGAAACUGUUGGUCUUGAGAGUGGGAGAGGUAAGUAGAAUUCCCGGUGUAGCGGUGAAAUGCGUAGAUAUCGGGAGGAAUACCGGUGGCGAAGGCGGCUUACUGGACCAUUACUGACGCUGAGACACGAAAGCGUGGGGAGCAAACAGGAUUAGAUACCCC